CAGAGAUCUGGGGUGUCUCCACCAUGGCCUGGACCCCUUUCCUGCUCCCCCUCCUCACUCUCUGCUCAGGAUCUGUGGCCUCCUUUGUUUUGACUCAACCACCUGCGUUGUCUGUGGCCCUGGGACAGACAGUCAGCAUCACCUGCCAGGGAGGAGAAUUAGAAAUCUUUGGUGUUUACUGGUACCAGCAGAAGCCAGCCCAGCACCCGACACUGCUCAUGGAUUAUAUUGAUUUCCGGGCCUCAGGGGUCCCUGAGCGAUUCUCCGGCUCCCGCUCUGGUGGAACGGCCACCCUGACCAUCACUGGGGCCCAGGCUGAGGACGAGGCUGACUAUUACUGUCAGUCCAUGGACAGAAGUGAUUACACAACCACAGUGACACAGGCAGAUGGGGAAAGUCUGAGUGAGGCCCACAGCUGGGUAGAUUGA
Molecule: non-coding RNA, 428 nt
Organism: Tupaia belangeri chinensis (Chinese tree shrew)
Lineage: Eukaryota; Metazoa; Chordata; Mammalia; Scandentia; Tupaiidae
Source: the annotation of a RefSeq genome assembly